CAGUCGCCGCGGUAAAACGAAGGGUGCAAGCGUUAAUCGGAAUUACUGGGCGUAAAGCGUGCGUAGGCGGUUUGUUAAGUCUGUUGUGAAAUCCCCGGGCUCAACCUGGGAAUGGCAAUGGAUACUGGCAAGCUAGAGUGUGUCAGAGGAUGGUGGAAUUCCCGGUGUAGCGGUGAAAUGCGUAGAGAUCGGGAGGAACAUCAGUGGCGAAGGCGGCCAUCUGGGACAACACUGACGCUGAGGCACGAAAGCGUGGGGAGCAAACAGGAUUAGAUACCCCCGUAGUCCCUGUCUCUUAUAC
Molecule: ribosomal RNA, 301 nt
Filed under: uncultured bacterium
Lineage: Bacteria
Description: partial 16S ribosomal RNA
Rfam family: Bacterial small subunit ribosomal RNA
Source: RNAcentral